RNAcentral lists this ribosomal RNA (253 nucleotides) under uncultured bacterium. Its description in RNAcentral is "partial 16S ribosomal RNA". It matches the Rfam family "Bacterial small subunit ribosomal RNA", at positions 524 to 776 of the family's 1533-position model. The record is from RNAcentral.
UACGUAGGGUGCAAGCGUUGUCCGGAAUUAUUGGGCGUAAAGAGCUCGUAGGCGGUUUGUCGCGUCGACUGUGAAAACCCGAGGCUCAACCUCGGGCCUGCAGUGGGUACGGGCAGACUAGAGUGCGGUAGGGGAGAUUGGAAUUCCUGGUGUAGCGGUGGAAUGCGCAGAUAUCAGGAGGAACACCGGUGGCGAAGGCGGGUCUCUGGGCAACAACUGACGCUGAGGAGCGAAAGCUAGGGGAGCAAACGGG